Long non-coding RNA from Amblyraja radiata (thorny skate), 217 nucleotides. RefSeq lists it as uncharacterized. The transcript has 3 exons. The record is from RefSeq and is a predicted model, not a curated record. NCBI's taxonomy places the organism in Eukaryota, Metazoa, Chordata, Chondrichthyes, Rajiformes, Rajidae.
AUCCAUCAUAACCAAGAUUCAUCAAACAAGGAAUCAUCGAGUCUCAUCCAAGGAGCAGAGCUACAGAAGUUGGGAACAUCUGUCGACAUCAUGGCUGAAGGUGGUGACAGAGGAGGUGAUUCAGUUACCUGUACAUCAAAGGAACAAAAAGAUAUAAACUCCGCAAUCUCCACUUUCCUGUCAAACUGUGACGAUCACCAGCUCUUACAGUUGACGA